This 252-nucleotide ribosomal RNA is filed under the name uncultured bacterium. RNAcentral describes it as "partial 16S ribosomal RNA". It matches the Rfam family "Bacterial small subunit ribosomal RNA", at positions 524 to 776 of the family's 1533-position model. The record is from RNAcentral.
UACGUAGGUCCCGAGCGUUGUCCGGAUUUAUUGGGCGUAAAGCGAGCGCAGGUGGUCUAUUAAGUCUGGUGUAAAAGGCAGUGGCUCAACCAUUGUAUGCAUUGGAAACUGGUAGACUUGAGUGCAGGAGAGGAGAGUGGAAUUCUAUGUGUAGCGGUGAAAUGCGUAGAUAUAUGGAGGAACACCGGUGGCGAAAGCGGCUCUCUGGCCUGUAACUGACACUGAGGCUCGAAAGCGUGGGGAGCAAACAGG